UACGGAGGAUGCGAGCGUUAUCCGGAUUUAUUGGGUUUAAAGGGUGCGUAGGCGGCCUGCCAAGUCAGCGGUAAAAUUGCGGGGCUCAACCCCGUACAGCCGUUGAAACUGCCGGGCCCGAGUGGGCGAGAAGUAUGCGGAAUGCGUGGUGUAGCGGUGAAAUGCAUAGAUAUCACGCAGAACCCCGAUUGCGAAGGCAGCAUACCGGCGCCCUACUGACGCUGAGGCACGAAAGUGCGGGGAUCAAACAGG
Molecule: ribosomal RNA, 252 nt
Filed under: uncultured bacterium
Lineage: Bacteria
Description: partial 16S ribosomal RNA
Rfam family: Bacterial small subunit ribosomal RNA
Source: RNAcentral